UAACCCCGAUCCGAACCCGAUAAAACCCGAACCGGUUCCGAACCGAACUUUCAUAUAAUCCGAAUAAGGCUGAUUUUGAUAAACCCGAAAAACUGAAACCCGAUUGAAUAAAACCAAAACCCGUUUGGGACCCCGAAUGUCCAGGCCUAAAGAUAACAAUACAAUAUAUACAUAAAUUAUCUGUGUUUAAAUUAUAUUUUCAGAUUUUGGAUAAUUCUUAGUAUUAUUAAUUUUAAUCAAUUAUCUAAUCAAAUAAAUUAAAAUUUCGUUUUUAUUUUUUAAUUUAUUGAUACAAUUUAUUCAUUAAGGAUAUAAACGAUAUUAAUCACUAUAACUUUUAACGUAAGAGGUCGAUUUUAAAAAUUUACUUUGGAGAUGAUAAUAUAGAUAGAUAGAUGUGUCGGGUAAGUGACUUUUCCUUUAGUAUAAAGGAUUUAUAAGCAACAGCCUGUUUGUUGGGGCCCACAAUAAUCCCAAUUAAACAGACGCGUCAAAACAGCGCAUUUAAGCCGUCCAUUACGAGGUCUAAAAAACACUCCUCUCUUUUAGAGAGAGGAUUUUCUCUCUACUUUCCUUGUUCCCAAAUUUAAUCUUUCACAAGGAGUAGAGAUAAGAGAGUUUUUCCAGAUGGGUUUUUGUUUCCGGUGACGCACCUUCUCCUUCGGUGGUCGGCCGGCUCUGUCUCCGGCGUCGCAUCGUUUCUCUCGAUGGUCGUCCGGCUUUGUCUCCGGCGUCGUUGCCUUCUUCUCCGGCGAUGGCGGCUGGCUUUCUUGGUUUGUAAAGGGUUGGGACGGCGGAUGAUAUCUCGAUUGUUCUCCGCCGGUGGGUGUUUCCAGGGCCGUACUGUCUUCUUCGACGGUGGUCGCCAGCUUUUGUAUCCAAAGAUGAUCGUGACUCCGUUCGAUUGGAUGAGAUUUCGACAAGGGUCGAUUUGAUUCUCUCCAUGGAGUUUUAACAAAGAACGCGUGAUGGGUGCUUUGGGAUCUUCUAGGAUGAGAUCUCGUUGUCUUGUUUGAAGCACUACGUGGAAAGGUGAUCUAGAAAUGGAGGAAGCUGUGGUGUGGCUUCUGGUCCAGUGCGUAGACGGUGAAACGCCGUUCAGAUUCGGCGGCGGCGGUUUCUCGAAGUGGUGAUGACGUGGCGGUGUCGAAAGACGCGUGUUUCUUCAUUGUGAGGGUUUCAACACACGUCUAUCCAGUUCAUAUUUCGACACGUGGGUACGGAUAGCGUUUAGUGGGCUUCUUUGUUAGCGGGCUUUGGGUUUUAGCCCAUGUAUCUUUAAAAGUCGCCUUAUGUGUUUGGGCUUCAUUGUUUUUUUGUAAUGGUGGGUUUGUUCUAUGGGCUUUGGCGUUAAUAAAACUAAUUAGAUGGAAAAAAAAAAAAAAGCCGUCCAUUACUAAACCGCCUCGCUUUAAAAAUGACCCGAAAGGCACGCAAUGAUCCACGAGGCUGCUUCGAUACCGUUGAUGCGUUAUCUAAUUAUUUAAUCAUGACCGUCCAUUAUUCUAACCUUUUAAUAUAAAUAGGAAACGGUGUUGAACCUAGGGUUAUCUCAACAGCCGCUUCCAUCCUUGCGCUUCUCAAAACUUUUUUUUUCAUCGCUUCCUUUAGAUCUCGCUUCUAUGGCGGCGAAUCUUUUAUUUAUAGCUUCUGUUUGUAAUAGCGAGUCCUCCGAUCUACACAACGGUGUUGAUUUUCCAUCGAUUUAAUCGCUUCUAUGUCUUUCAUCGGUAGAUCUGAUGCAGAUCUCAUGAAAUCUAUACUUCCUCUAAGGAUCUGCCGGUGGGAUCAUCGCGUGAGGGGUGUCUAUUAUGCAAAUCGGUUGCGUUGAAGCGCGUUGAGGCUGAAUCGAAUUCGUUUAUGGACGUGAAGCUGUGUUCUUGUGUGGGUUAAGUUAAAAUUAGGAUGUAGAAGAUGUUGAAUUGCAUCUUUUGUCAUCCGACCUUUGCCAUGUCAGGUGCGCUUGCAUGGCAGGUCAAAAACAGAUCUUAAUAAAACAAUAUGUUUUGUGGUUGGGAGGGGAGUUCGCACGGGUGUUUUUUUUUUAUCCCGGGUUCUCCUCUUCCUGUGUGCGUGUCUUGCUCUCUGCGAAAUUUCACACUAUUUAUUAUUAUGCACCGUAACUCAACAGAUAGCCAUGAAACACUUAUAUCUCAUUCGACCUGGAGCUGUAACACUUUGCGCCAUUCAUGCCCCACCCAACAAGCAUGCGCUCGUAAGUAUGUUAUUUUUGAUAAUUUAGUCACUCAGAAUUAUAUCCAAUCACACCCAUGCAUAUUAACAAUCAUACGUACAUUAAUCAUUACUUCCGUCAUGAAUUUUACAAAUUCGUUGCCCAAAUUUAUUGGGCCAACUAGUUACUUUUCAUUCUAUUAUUUGUUUCUCUUUUUGAGUGAAUUGACAAACCCUACUGAUCUAAAAGCUUUCUAUGCUGUAGACAGUAUUUUUUUAUUUAUAUUUCUAAGUUUAUAAGUAUCUGUUUGAUUUAUAUAGUUAGAGAACAUCACAAGAUUAUGUAUCUCGAAAUUUGAUGGCUGAAGGGUGAGAAUGGGAUAUCAUAUUAGCUUGUGGAGCAAUACAUUGGAAGCUAUAGCGUGGAGCAGUGUGAAUACAACAGCUCUUUGUAGACUCAUCCUAUAAAGCUUAUUGUAAAUGAAGGUAUUAAAACGCUGUGUGUACACAUUGAUUAAUUUCCUUAACUUAUAUCCAAGUGUAUCCAUUAUUACACUCCAUGUUUUCAUUUUGUUUUGAUGUGAAUAUAUUUUUGCCGAUAAUUCACUAAUAAAAUUGAUAUUAUUGUUUCUCAAAA
Molecule: long non-coding RNA, 2809 nt
Organism: Brassica napus (rape)
Lineage: Eukaryota; Viridiplantae; Streptophyta; Magnoliopsida; Brassicales; Brassicaceae
Exons: 2
Source: RefSeq, a predicted model, not a curated record